AAAAAUUAGAUGGGCGUGGUGGCACAUGCCUGUAGUCCCAGCUACUCAGGAGGCUGAGGUGGGAGAACCGCUUGAAUCCAGGAGGUGGAGGUUGCAGUGAGCCGAGAUCGUGCCACUGCACUCCAGCCUGGUGAGGGAGUGAGAGUCCGUCAAAAACAAAAAAACAAAAAAGAAGUAAUCUUAUCUCUUUACACAGAUGUAAUUUAUUUUAAAUUUUAUUUUGUAAUAGUCUUCAGCAGCAGGCUUGAUCUGAAGCUUCCUAUUCAACUAUUGCAAGAUGGGCAUUGCCUGCUGUAUUUUUUCCACUUCACUCUUUUACCCACUUGGAAUAUAUUUAUGUGAUGAACCUAACCUCAACGCUCACAUUGUCUCCAGACAGGACGUUCUUUCUUACAUAAUUUAGCCCUAUGCUAUUGCUUUGUAAGAGCACCAUGAACUCUUCCCUGAAGUGGGGACUGUGUUGGCCUUUGUAGAUGAGAAAGGCUGGGGACAGGCACAGACACUCAGCAUCUCUCUACCCAACUAAUGACUUGAAGCAACAUUUAUGACCUCACAGUUAGGAACAUGGGCCCUAACUGUGGGGUCAAGCGAUUCUCCAGCCUCAGCCUCCCCAGUAGCUGGGACUGCAGGCGCCCGCCACCACGCCCGGCUAAUUUUUUAUAUUUUUAGUAGAGACAGGGUUUCACCGUGUUAGCCAGGAUGGUCUCAAUCUCCUGACCUUGUGAUCUGCCCGCCUUGGCCUCCCAAAGUGCUGGGAUUACAGGUGUGAGCCACCAUGCCCGGGCCAUAUAUAUUCUAAUACCAUCACUUUGGAGCUUAGGAUUUCAACAUAGGAAUUUCCACAGGGACAGCAACAUUCAGACCAUAGCAAAGGCCUCCUGGAGGCUGCUGCCUCAACUUCAUCAAAACUGCCGCUAAAGCCUCCUGGAGGCUGCUGCCUCAACUGCAUCUUCAGCAGUCUAGGGUGUGUCAGCUCAGGGAUAACAGAAGGCUGCCUUUCAAAGUUGUGUCUCAAUAAGAAGGUCACCGGUUGUGGCUUGUAGAAAGUUUCUUAUUAGUGUUCUUCAGAUAACUAUGAAUGAAAGAAUUCUAGGUGGUUGUUUGGUUUUCUAAAUCUCAUUUAUGAAGAGUUUGCAUUUCUUUUGUGAUUUUGACACACACUGUGUGAUGAAACAGAGUCCUUCUUCAUGCUUGUAAGCUGUGGGUAAGGUAGUCCUACGGGAAUGGGCUUUUAUAAGGACCCGUGGACACCCACUGCUUGGUUUCCUUUUAGGUCCGAUUUCCUGUCUUCUAGGUUUCAUGUUUCUCGUUGAAAUUAAGGGUUGAGAAUAUAGGUAGGUGUAUAUUUAUUUAUCCCUCAAUUCUGGAGAGAAGAAGAUCUGUUUUCAAGGCAUCUGAGCCUCAGAAACUCUACCUUGAAGUCAGUGGUUGUCAAAUAAGGGCAAUUUUGCAAUGUCUGGAGAGAAUUUUGAUUGUCACAACUGGGGAGUGCUGCUGGCACCUCCUGGACUGAGACCAAGGAUGCUGUGGAGCACCCUGAAACAAAGGUCAGCCCCCCAAUGAAGAGUCAUCUAGUCCCAAAUGUCACUAGUACUGCUGCUCCUGGGGUCAAUUUUACCUUCUCCCCUGCCACUGAGAAAGCUGAAGGAAGGAUGAGAGCCCAGGCAUUCAGCCAGACUCCUGGACAUGUGGACCAUGGAAUUACCUGACUAAGGCUGCAGGUUUAAAAAUGCCAUCCAGCUUUAAUUUUUGGAAUGUAAGAAACAAGCAUCAUUAAGAGG
RNAcentral lists this long non-coding RNA (1781 nucleotides) under Homo sapiens (human). RNAcentral's name for it is "HSALNT0023766". Lineage: Eukaryota; Metazoa; Chordata; Mammalia; Primates; Hominidae. The record is from RNAcentral.